Molecule: non-coding RNA, 79 nt
Organism: Podarcis lilfordi (Lilford's wall lizard)
Lineage: Eukaryota; Metazoa; Chordata; Lepidosauria; Squamata; Lacertidae
Source: the annotation of a GenBank genome assembly
CAGAGGGAUAGCUCAGUCAGUAAAGCAUGAGACUCUUAAUCUCAAGGUCAGGGGUUUGAACCCCGUGUUGGGUGAAAGA